UUCUUAUGGAAGACACUGGUGAAGAAUUUGUUCAUCUUGGGAGGAACAGACCUUCACUGAGGUUGCAAGAAUAGAGGCAUGGAAUCAGAUUUCUUGCAUUUUAAACAUACAGUGUUCUCUAACUAGCUGAACAGAAAAUAAUUAUAAGCUGGAAGUCUUCGAGCAAGCAAGAUUGGUAAAUGAGAAGAAACUUGAUUUGGGACCAAGUUUGUGGUACUCAACAAGAGAAGAUCAGCAAAUACUGAACCCCUUGCAUUCAAAUCCAAACAUCAGUAACUACAGUUGCACCGUGCAUACUGUGCAGUAGACGACAGAUAUCUUCAAAUAAUUUUAGAAGGCUGAGGGAUGACGAGUGCAGUUUAUGUGAAUUUGUGCCUCUUUUGGGGAACAUGGUGUCCAUUGAAUCACUGCAGUUAUUUUUUGUCAUGAAAACCAAAGAGUACUCCAGAAGGAUUAAUGAUAUAUUGUGAAGAUCAAGUAAGGUUUCUCAAGGGGUGUGCACUAAGAGAUGUGCGUAGACAGACCUGAAUCAUCAUCUAUUAGCUGCCUAGC
Molecule: long non-coding RNA, 552 nt
Filed under: Rosa chinensis
Lineage: Eukaryota; Viridiplantae; Streptophyta; Magnoliopsida; Rosales; Rosaceae
Description: sRNA RchiOBHm_Chr7g0240881
Source: RNAcentral